AAAAGUCGUAACAAGGUUUCCGUAGGUGAACCUGCGGAAGGAUCAUUAUAAAAUUUUUUCUACAUAUUUUUAAAAUAUGUAAAAAACUUUUGUAUUCAAAACCCACACUCUUUAAAACCAUAUAUAUAAAAAAAAUUUAUGUUCAUAUACAUAAUUUUUUUUUAUAAUAUAUUAUUUAUAUAAAAAUAAAUAAUAAAAUGACAACUUUCAACAACGGAUCUCUUGGCUCUC
This 231-nucleotide unclassified non-coding RNA is filed under the name fungal sp. RNAcentral describes it as "partial internal transcribed spacer region". The stretch from base 1 to 48 matches the Rfam family "Eukaryotic small subunit ribosomal RNA", at positions 1784 to 1831 of the family's 1831-position model. Lineage: Eukaryota; Fungi. The record is from RNAcentral.